UACGUAGGGACCAAGCGUUGUUCGGAUUUACUGGGCGUAAAGGGCGCGUAGGCGGCUUGACAAGUCACUUGUGAAAUCUCCGGGCUUAACUCGGAACGGCCAAGUGAAACUGUCAUGCUAGAGUGCAGAAGGGGCAAUUGGAAUUCUUGGUGUAGCGGUGAAAUGCGUAGAUAUCGGGAGGAACACCUGUGGCGAAAGCGGCGCACUGGACCAUAACUGACGCUGAGGCGCGAAAGCUAGGGGAGCAAACAGG
This 253-nucleotide ribosomal RNA is filed under the name uncultured bacterium. RNAcentral describes it as "partial 16S ribosomal RNA". It matches the Rfam family "Bacterial small subunit ribosomal RNA", at positions 524 to 776 of the family's 1533-position model. The record is from RNAcentral.